Molecule: non-coding RNA, 364 nt
Organism: Xyrichtys novacula (pearly razorfish)
Lineage: Eukaryota; Metazoa; Chordata; Actinopteri; Labriformes; Labridae
Source: the annotation of a GenBank genome assembly
UGUUUUAUUACCUCCGCCAAGGAGGUUUUGUUUUCCGUAGCAUUGGUUUGUUUGUUUGUUUGUUUGUCUGUUAGCAACUUUACGGAGAAAGUAACAGACGGAUUGACCUGAAAUUUUCACCAGAGGUGCGUCUCAGCCCCAGGAGGAUCCCAUUAAAUUUUGGUGGUGAUCCGGACAAAAUUCUGGAUACUGUGAUCCAGAACACACUAAAAUAAGGGUGUCGUUGGAAUUUUCAAUGCUGAAAGGUAACCAAUGGGCGGCACAGUGGUGUAGUGGUUAGCACUGUCGCCUCACAACCAGAAGGUCCUGGGUUUGAAUCCCGGUCAGGGUGUUUCUUGUUUAAGGGGGGACAUGAGCUGCUUGG